RNAcentral lists this ribosomal RNA (391 nucleotides) under uncultured bacterium. Its description in RNAcentral is "bacterial SSU rRNA". It matches the Rfam family "Bacterial small subunit ribosomal RNA", at positions 55 to 491 of the family's 1533-position model. The record is from RNAcentral.
AUGCAAGUCGAACGAAGUAGCAAUACUUAGUGGCAGACGGGUGAGUAACAUGUAGGUAUCUGCCCUUUGGCCUGGAAUAACACGAGGAAACUUGUGCUAAUACCGGAUAAGUCUUUACGGAGAAAGCUUUAUGCACCAUUGGAUGAGCCUGCACUUGAUUAGUUUGUUGGUAGGGUAAUGGCCUACCAAGACUGUGAUCAAUAGCUGAUUUGAGAGGAUGAUCAGCCACAUUGGGACUGAGACACGGCCCAAACUCCUACGGGAGGCAGCAGUGGGGAAUCUUGCACAAUGGAGGAAACUCUGAUGCAGCGAUGCCGCGUGAGUGAAGAAGGCCCUUGGGUUGUAAAGCUCUUUCGUCGGGGAAGAAAAUGACUGUACCCGAAUAAGAAGG